RNAcentral lists this ribosomal RNA (526 nucleotides) under Limosilactobacillus fermentum. Its description in RNAcentral is "bacterial SSU rRNA". It matches the Rfam family "Bacterial small subunit ribosomal RNA", at positions 28 to 509 of the family's 1533-position model. Lineage: Bacteria; Bacillati; Bacillota; Bacilli; Lactobacillales; Lactobacillaceae. The record is from RNAcentral.
GAUGAACGCCGGCGGUGUGCCUAAUACAUGCAAGUCGAACGCGUUGGCCCAAUUGAUUGAUGGUGCUUGCACCUGAUUGAUUUUGGUCGCCAACGAGUGGCGGACGGGUGAGUAACACGUAGGUAACCUGCCCAGAAGCGGGGGACAACAUUUGGAAACAGAUGCUAAUACCGCAUAACAACGUUGUUCGCAUGAACAACGCUUAAAAGAUGGCUUCUCGCUAUCACUUCUGGAUGGACCUGCGGUGCAUUAGCUUGUUGGUGGGGUAAUGGCCUACCAAGGCGAUGAUGCAUAGCCGAGUUGAGAGACUGAUCGGCCACAAUGGGACUGAGACACGGCCCAUACUCCUACGGGAGGCGAGCAGUAGGGAAUCUUCCACGAUGGGCGCAAGCCUGAUGGAGCAACACCGCGUGAGUGAAGAAGGGUUUCGGCUCGUAAAGCUCUGUUGUUAAAGAAGAACACGUAUGAGAGUAACUGUUCAUACGUGGACGGUAUUUAACCAGAAAGUCACGGCUAACUACGUGCC